AAUCAACGCUGGCGGCGUGCCUCAGACAUGCAAGUCGAACGAUUAAAGCUCUCUUCGGAGAGUGUAUAGAGUGGCGCACGGGUGAGUAACACGUAAGUAAUCUACCUUCGAGUGGGGAAUAACGUCCGGAAACGGACGCUAAUACCGCAUAAUGCAGUGGCAUCGCAAGAUGACAGUUGUUAAAGAUUUAUCGCUUUGAAGAGGAGCUUGCGGCAGAUUAGCUAGUUGGUAAGGUAAUGGCUUACCAAGGCUACGAUCUGUAACCGGUCUAAGAGGACGGUCGGUCACACUGACACUGAAUAACGGGUCAGACUCCUAC
Molecule: ribosomal RNA, 319 nt
Filed under: uncultured bacterium
Lineage: Bacteria
Description: bacterial SSU rRNA
Rfam family: Bacterial small subunit ribosomal RNA
Source: RNAcentral